UACGUAGGUGGCAAGCGUUAUCCGGAUUUAUUGGGCGUAAAGGGAACGCAGGCGGUCUUUUAAGUCUGAUGUGAAAGCCUUCGGCUUAACCGGAGUAGUGCAUUGGAAACUGGGAGACUUGAGUGCAGAAGAGGAGAGUGGAACUCCAUGUGUAGCGGUGAAAUGCGUAGAUAUAUGGAAGAACACCAGUGGCGAAAGCGGCUCUCUGGUCUGUAACUGACGCUGAGGUUCGAAAGCGUGGGUAGCGAGCAGG
Molecule: ribosomal RNA, 253 nt
Filed under: uncultured bacterium
Lineage: Bacteria
Description: partial 16S ribosomal RNA
Rfam family: Bacterial small subunit ribosomal RNA
Source: RNAcentral